UCUGAAGAGUUUUCAAACCAUUGAGGCAGGCAUAACUUCAGAGAAUGGAUACUGCAGCAGCAGAUUUUUUUUCUGAAGUGCAGCUGCUGAACCAUGACAUUCAGGAAUGAUUCUUUUUUAGAGAAGUCAAAAUUAUGUGCUCUUUGGGGCUGAAUGUACCAAAGAAUUCAGUAACCUUUUAAACAUUUCAGCGAGUCACUGGGUUUGGGGUGUUCUGUGUAUUCAGUUUUUCCUGUCUGGUCAGCAGUUUAUUGCAGAAGUGUUAUGUAGGUUGCACUGGCAGGUUUAAAAAGAAGAGUAGCUGUAAUGCGUCCUUUCUCCACACUUUCAGGUUUCUAAAACCAUCGGCUCAGUAGACUUGGCAUCUUGACUUCACCUGGGAACACUGCAGGAUCUCACUGUUUGACUUGCCUGUAUGCUUAACCCUGCAGAAACGUGCUUGUCAGAGAUCAGUAAAUCAUCAUCUCACCGUCCUCCAUCCCCAGUAUGGCAGAGUGGAAGGAAGGAGAGCACCAGGAUUUGGAGGAAUGGCUCUCAUAACAGAGAGAGGCUCCUGCUUAGAAAGGAUCAGAACUCAAGAGAAGUCUGGAUGACCUUACAGAUCCAUUAGGGUACUGUCUUAGGGAAGAAAUGGGUCUCAUGCUGUGCUCUGAAAGCUGCAAACAGGAAACUUAUUGUGCUGAUGCCACUAUUGAGUGCCGAAAAUAGCUAUGGACACUUGAAUUGCUGGAAGACUGUAACCUGGAGAAGUACUGUUCAAAACCAGACAAUCCGCAUGGUACAAAGCAGGUCACCUUGAAGCCCCCCCUGCUCAUUUUACACAGCUUGGGAAAAGUGGCAUAAACGUGUGUUGCUGUUAUCAAAUGCAACUUGAAAUGCUCUUUGUCCUGAAAGGAUACUGUGUGAAUCGGGACAAAAUAACAAUUUGAAGUGAAAGAUGGAAAAAAGCCUUGCUGCAUCUCUUUAACCCUUCUGCGGUCUGCGCACAGGAUUUUGUUUAUUUCUUGUGUCACUACUGGAAUAACAGGCAGAGGAAGAUAUGUUCUCCAUCUGCUAUGUUUCAUUGCUGCAAAGCUGGGAAGGCUUGUUCCUACUGGCAAUUUACUGGAAAAUAUCUAACACUAGACCAAAAUGCAUGCAACUAUUUUAUACUCCAGGCAGUCUCAUCUGCAGAGUAGAAUCAUGGAAUCAUUAAGACUGGAAAAGACUAGAAAAGAAAUUCUUCCUAAUAUCCAGCAAAGUUAACGUAAAUCUGAAAAAGUGAAAAUACCUGAUUCAGAUGGAUACAUAAUACUGUUGCUAUCUAACAUUUCCCUUGUUGAUUUUCCUACUGCCUGGUAAAGUUCAUAUGCUUACAAAAAGAGUUCAGUGAUUGACUCAUGAUACUGCUGCCACGGUUUAAUAAAGAACUGAAUUGAACUUUUUCACAAUUACAUUGUAGCAGGAAGCGGCACCAGAGUUGAUUGGUCGAGUGAUGAUCGAAAAUGGUAGUGUUGAAUUUCUCCACUUGGUGGCACUAAGAAAUAACGCAACUGCCCUUGUAACGAGGCUGUGAAACGUGGCCAGGUGGUUGGGGAUAACUGAGCACAGUGACCCUGGGAAAGGAAGACAUCAAGAAGUGAUCUCAGGCUUGUGUCUGCCUUGGGUAAGAGGGGCAGCGGAGGCUGGAUCACCACUGGAAGAAGAUGCUCCAGCAAUGUGAGCAGGAGAAUGGUGUAUGCAGAGCACUGGAACAUCCUCUACAGGUACGGGCUCCUGAGCUUCUGUUCAAGCUCUAUGUUGUGCCUCUCUGGCUGUGAGAAAAGCAAUGGAAUUGUGAAUUGCUGCUAUCAGAAUAUGUGAAGAUAAUGAAGUGGGCUGGACAGGAAGUUUAUUACUGAUAGCAAUUAUUCUUCAUCAACGAUUUAAACAUAUCUGUGGUGGCUGGAAGGCAGCAUAACAAUAUAAAUCAGUGUCUUGCUGAGUUAAUAUUUCCUGUCCAGGACGACUGUGCUCACAAAAAGCACCACAAGCUCUGCUGGCAAUACCACAGUGGGAGGCAGGUUUUUGUAUUUUGGAUGUUCUGUCUAGAAAUUGGAAGAGACAGAGUUGGGAUUGCAGCAUUGGCAGAGUGGAAGGACAAAACAGAUAUCCUAUGGAGUUUACUUUGGAGCAAACAGAGAUGAUUAAAAAUAUCCCAAACCAACAUGGAUGUGAGAAAAAAGUGGUAGCAGAGUGAGAAGACUGACUGUAAGGUAAACCACAGAAAUCAGUUUCUGCCAUCCUGAGCUUGACAGUUGUGGGAAUUUCCACCUUUAUGGAUAUGUGCAUGGUCAUACUUGCACAACAUAGACAUGAUCCAAAAACAGUGAUUAUAAACGCCCCAAGUAGAGACUCAAAUGAGUCUCUACAGAAGCAGCCAUUAUCACUUGGUUAUUACAACACCUGGCAAGCUGGAACUGAGCCUGCAGCAACUUUUAAUUUUUGCAAUAUGUAUGUUUGAUGCUAAAUAAAAACAAUCAGAUCAAUAUUAUUCUGCUAACAAGCAAUAAUUGAGUGAAAAACAUUCUUGCAAGAGCUCUUCAUUCUUUAUGAGAUUUAGUAUAGUUAAUGCUUAUUACUCUAUUCAUUUGUGGGCUUUCCAUAACCCACUGUAAUUAACAAUAUCCGUAAUAUGUAUUUUGUCAGAAAGGCAGCUGGAAUAUAGUCAUGAAUGUCUGACUCCUAUGUUGAUUUCUGGACUCUCAGUGUGUGGUUCCUAAAGAUUAUCAGAAGCUCAUUUUUUGAGUUUUAUGACAAUAUCACUGAGGCUAUAUUGCUGUCAGCAGCAAACACCAGCUAAGAAAAAAUGACCUUUAAGAAAAGACCUUUAAGACAUUGCUUAAUGCAUGCUGCUGACACUUUGAAAAGUAGCCAACAUGUUGCAAAAAUGGCCUUUGAAAACAAAACCUUGAGAAAAAUAUCCAUUAUAAUCUCUCACUCAGCAAAAGCAAAAUUGCUGAAAUGUAUUCCUCUACCAUGCUCAUGAAGUAGCAGGUUUACUUGGUCAUAAACAAUAGCUGAGGCAAUCACUUUGCCUAACACCAUGUUAAUAGCACAAACUGUCUCUAAUAGUCAAAGGCAGUGAAACAGCAGGAGGGCUGACUUAAGACUGCAUAUUCCUUUUUAAAGCACAGAGCCAUUAAAGGCAAUGGUUAUUUGGCAAUAUCCUCAGCGCAAAAAGAGAAAACAAAAUAAUUUGAAAACUUUCUAACAUUUGAUGCUCACUGAGCAUGAAAUUUUAUCUCGCGUAUUUGGCCUGUGACUUUCACUGGUGACAUGCUUCUUGUUUACAUUUGAUUUAAAUCUCAUUUUUUGGGGGAAAUUGUAUGUGUGAAUUCUCUUUGUGUAAACAUUUCAAACAUUUUCAUAUGUCAGAGGGGUUCAUAUCAUUGUGCGAUCAUACAAAAAUUAGAAGUUGACCACCAAAAAAGAUGUUUGCUAUAUGAAUUCUCUUCCUCUUUUUUUGUUAAUAGUGAUGGAAAUGGGCUCCUAAAAUUUUCAAGAAAUUAAAAUUACAAAUUAUACCCAAUCUCCUUUAGUGCAAAUCUAGCAUGAUCAUUAAUCAAUGUGAGAAACUGAGGGUGGUCACUCUUGCACUUGUACAAAUAAGAGAUGUGAGCAGGCACAGACCUUCUUUAUAAUGAGAGCCAGAAAUGAUGGAGUAGUCUGUAGACAGAAUUACUAUAGAGAACACAUUAACAUAAGAUUUUUUUUUUUCCAGAUAAUUAAUAACCAUGUAAAGGUUAAUGCUAAAAUCAACUCUUGGAAAAUGCCAUAGGUAAUUGUUGUGAACUUACCGACAUUAAUUAUACCUCAUAUAAUUCUCUACAGAGCAUCCAAAUAACAGGUGAAAAACUAGGAACUUAACAUCCUAAAUCUCUGCCAAAAGCUCUAUCACAAUGGCACUGGUUCCAAAUGCAACAGAAUCUUCGAUACUUCAGGAGUGAAAUGUGUCAAUAUUUUAAAACAGUCACUAAUACAAGCAAGUAGAGGUCACUAAGUCUAAACUCCAUUCUACCAAAGCUUGAUGAAACCAUAAUAAUAUAAAGAACAUAUUUAUGCAGUGGCAUAGAAGAUUAGUAAAAUAAAUUUGAGAGUUUCAGAUGAGUACAUGUUGCAUGAGUAGUUAAUGCUCUUGGAGAGGGAGCAAAUACAGAUAUGAUAACAUUUUUAACUAUAGAAAAUCUGAGUAAUCAAAACUAAAAUUGGUUGCAAACUGUCUCAGAAUUGCCAUGCAAGAAUAAAAGACUGGGUUAAAAAAAAGACAGAUGAAACUUAAAGGGAUAAGACAGAGGGAGUGAAUGAUGCAUUCAUGAUGACAGACCUUGUUAGCCAUUGCCAAUCAAAAAAGAAAUCUUGUCAUCAUUGUGGGAGCUUCUGAAAACAUGAUCCCAUUAUUCAGAAUUAGCCAAAAGAACAAAGUCCUAGAAUCAUUAGCAAAAAAAGAAAAAGGCAGAAAUAGGAAAUCCCUCUAAGCCAGUAUAGAAAUCUCAUACAUUUCUUGUAUCUUGAGUGUCGUAUACAAUUUUUGCUGCUUUCCUUUCUGAGAAGAUGGAGGAAAAGCGUAAAGAAGGAGAAGGUGAAUAGAGUUAUGGAAUUUCUUCAGCAGAUGCUGCAGAUUGCAUGUUUUCAUCGGAGAGAAGAAGACUGAGAGGGAAUAAGUCUUAGAUUUAUAAAAUCAAGAUUAGUAUGAAGAAUGUGAGCAGGAAAGUAUGCGCUGUUCUUUGCAGCACAAAGGACAUUAAAUUAAACAGUUUGGAAGACAAUUUAGAAAAAAGAGGUUGAAGCAUUUUCCAGGCAGUGUUAGUAAACUGCUGACAGGAGGCUUUGAAAGCCAAGAGGUUAAGUGAGUUCAGGAAAAUGAUUAGUUUAAUUGAUGGAAUAAGAUUUGUUAGACACUUAAAUACAAUAUAGUCAUGAUAGAGUCUUCAAUUUAGGAAGUCCCUGAACAAGGGCUAACUACAGGCUAGAUGAUGUGGAUAUAUUACCACAUAUUCACCCUUCCCUUGUAAUCCCUUGUUUUAUAAUGUGCUACUCCCCUCAGAAUCUUCCCUUUGACAGUAGGCUACAAACAGACCUCCCAGUGAAACUCAUAUGGUACUUGCUGCUUUUUUUUGUUGUUGUUGUUUAACUGAGAGUAGCCAGUAAUUCAGACUUCUAUUUAUUUGUCUCAGUAGCUUUCUUUAGGUUGCACUUAUGUGGUCAUUUCCAUUUCCAUUGUCAUUCAUUUCCAUAAGACUGAGUAGCUGUAAUAUUUUUGUAAUAUUAUACAUAUAUUUGAUAAGAGCACCCAAGAGAAUCUUUCUGUUGCUUUAGGACAAGGCUGAACUCAUCCAUAUUUUUAUUCUUAUCACUUUUUCUAGUACAUUAACAUAUUGGCAUAGCUUUAUCUGAAGAUACACAGCAAGGUAGAUUUCAUCUUUGAGUCUAAAAUCCAUUGAGAAACCUGCCUUUUGGGCAACUAGAAAAUUUAGCAUUUGCCUUCCAUCCUUCGAAGGUUUUUUGUCUGCAACAUCUGAAGACAACAUUCAUGUCCCGCAGUUUCUACAUUUACGUUCCAUGCAGUUCAAAUCAAGCUACUUAUUAGUGCUUUGUACUGUGCUAAAUGUUAGGAUGCAACUAUCAGCAUAGUAAAUACAGUUAUCUGCGUGUAUGCAUUUAUCAUACUGAUGGAUCAUUACAACUGAAAUGUGAACCUUUAUUUUUAGGCAUUACUGAAUCCAACAUUUCUUUGCAUUUCGGUCUUUGGUUUAUGAUGGAAAAGAACUAAAUUCAGUCAGCACAUGCAAGGAGCACUGAUCCUUGGCUCCCAGCUUUUAGCAAAAUGGAUGAAAUUAAUGAAUGAAUCCAAAUAAUCCAAAAUCGUACAAAAUUAGGCAAGGGGAUUUGAAGCCUUGCCUUGAUUCUCCUGUCUCAUCUGUUAUCUGAAUGUAAUAUUUUUUGUCACCAUACUUCACUGUACAUUUUCAGUCUUCAGAAAAAAGGCAACCAUGCUCUAUCUUCUCAGUCUUUGUAAAUGAAGAGUCAAUAAAAAUUCUUCAGAGACCUGAUGCUCUUAAACCACUUCAGAAAGGAGCAGCCACAUUUUUACUGUUACCAUUGCAUUAUCAACUCUUGCUUUUCCUUGGUCUUAUUUCCUUCACCAGCUCCAGAGCUAUCUAAAGAGUGCAUUAUUACUACAAAACUUCCCAUAUAGACCCACCCCUGCAGUUUGUCUAGGCAGGGGACCAAAAAGAAAAAUCCUGUAUCCCUUCAAAAUAUGAAGCUCUUAUGUGAAAUACAGGACAGAGAUCAAAGUUGGAGUCCUGUACUAAAAGAUCUAUGUAUCUCAAUGUACCUAGAGAAAAAAAUGAAAACACUGGCAUGAGAUAAUUUUUGGCACUCAGUUUUUUCUGUUUUGUAAGGGGCUCAGAGCAAAUAAUGAGAGUUUAUAGGUUAUGGACACUUUCCAACACUAUGAGAGAGUCCAUUUGGUUCCCCCUCAACCCUAACAGUUCAGAGAUCAAAACCUGCAAGAUAAUUUCCUACUGAAGUUGAUAGGAAUUUUGCCAAGUUAUUGCCUCGAUUGAAAUGAUGUGUGUGACAGGGUUGUGGAGACGCAGUCUGAGGAUAUUUAGGCAUGGCAGAUACUCAUUAUGAUCUCAGAAAUAUUUCAUAAUAAAAUGUUAUAAAUUAGAGACAAUUAUAUUUUCUACUAAACCAUUUCAAAAAUAAAACCCGUCAAAAAUUUUAUCUAUAAAGCUGCCUUUCCACUCCUUGUCCUUCAAAUGAAUCUGUCAAGUAUUUGUUCCUCAGUUUGCAAAUGUUUUAGGCUGACUUUUUUUCCUCCUUUUCAUCUCCUGUUGGACACAUUUAUUUAAUGCAAAUUCUGUGAAUGAGGCUUUUCACUUAAAAGCCAUGCUCAUGCUAAUCUGCAUCUCCUAUGUGUAAGGAGACAGUUUUGCCUCAUAUUUAUUCUGAAAUCUGCUUGAAAGCUGGAGUUUUUCUGAAUCUUAUUGUUGGAGACAGCUAUCUUGCUGGAUGGUGACAUUGCCUGUGACACAAGUAGAUAAAGAGCCUCACUGUAAGAUAAAGUUGCCAUUCUGCUUUAUAAUGAUUUAACUCCCAUGGCAAAACACGACCAUGUGAUUUACAAGCUGCUGUGUAAAACACUGUGGGGCUUUUUCCACUGGGCUCCACCACUCGUUCCAGUGGAUCUAUGGAUGCAAGACGAGCACUGCUAUGCAUCAGUCCUUCAGACGUCUCCACUAGCUGAGAUGAAAAAGUCAUACAUCAUGGGAAAAUAAUCAGAAUAUUCAGUUAAUGGCAUGCUAAUCCUUCCCUGCAGAGCAUAUCUUUAGCUCCUUUCUUUGCACGAGUUUUAGGACAGGAAAUUAAUGCUGUUGUCCAUAGAUAGUAAAUAUGCUACAAGGGUCUGUAAUGGUUAGAAAGGCUACCUUGAGGAAGAGAACUGAAAUGUAAAAUACACAGAACUCCCUCAUUUUAAAUAGAGUGAAGUAGUGUUUACUCUCAUGAGGAAAUUGUGAAUGCUGGAGGUUUAUAUUAUGUAAUGAGGAAAAGCUUAAUAGGAACCACUUGUCAGAAGCUGAAGUUAUACUGAUAUUUCAGUGCCUCUCAGGUAGAGACUGAGAUAAAACUGAUUAUGAGGACUGGCAAAAUGAUGAUUGAGUGAAAUGUAAUGAGAUUUGAUGCCCAGGUGAUCAGAGUAAUUAAUAAAAUGGUUUCUCCUGAUUUCUCUUUUGCUGUGAGAAUGUGCAGACUAUUGCUCUGGCCACUUGUAGCAGGGUAUCGGCAUCUGGCUGCUGAAAAUUAAUAUAUCUGGUUAAUAAUUGUGGUUUGUUCUUUUCUUUUUUUUAAGACAGUUAAUUGUUAGUUUCUGAAGUCUACAUGUAGAAAUUCCAAAUAAGCCAAGGAAAUUUAGAUUUAAAUAUUCUCUAAGUAUUAAUUACAUAAUUAAUAGAAACUGGUCUAAGCUAUAAGUUCUGAAAAUUUUGAAACUUCCAAAUUCAUGUAAGCAGAUACCUUUGAUAACAACAGAUACCAUGAAAAAGACAAUUUUUUCCACAGAUUUUCCUCCCUAUGAGAAUUUCUCCUUUUUUUUUUCCUGUUUUCAGCCUUAGAUAUAUGUUUUCUGGAUACCGAUCGUUGCUGAAUAAUCUGAAAGAUUUUGGUAUUUAUUUUCAAUACAAUGGAGUUGCAGGGCUCUAUUGAUAAUCAUGAUACCAAAAAGGAAUGUACCUUCUUAGACUGGAAAUCUCAACAAAGAAACAGAAACAAGUACAGAGUCUGCUUCAUAUUUCACCCAAAAGUGGAUAUCUCAAGUAGACACAGCUAGUAGUGAUGUUGGAAACAUUCAGUGUCUUGCUUUGUUUUUAAGUAAAUAAUCAGUUAUCUUACCUGAAGAAUGAAGAUUGGAGCUAAAGAUCCUUAGUAAUGAGCACAGCAUAAAUCACAUGUAUUGAUAUUGCAUUCUGUUUAGAAAAUGCCAUGCAUACAGAAGAGUGAUGCUGUUGCUAUUCUUUUUCUGAGAAGCAAGAGAGCACAUUAGUUUAGUAUAAAAUAUAUACUUAAAUUUAAGCACCUUCAUCUAAAAUUUUACCUAAUUCUUUAAGGAAUGUAAAUGAUCACUGCGUCAUUCUGAAAGGAAACUAUUCGCAUAAUGUUCUACAAGGGAAAUUUACAGAAAUUAUGAACUGGAAAUGAUAUCACUGAAUCAACUUCAUUGUAUUUAUGAAAAUUUCAAAUGAGAAAUAGUGUUUUUACCUUCAUCAACCACUAUGAAAUUUCUAUAGAAAAGAUCAUUAAAGCUUGGAGGAAGAAGCUAAAACUGUCUUCCAAGUGCAGGAGUACCUUCCUAUUCUAUUGUUAUCAAUAUAGAUAUAUUCAGCUGACUUUCCUCUAGGAUGUAUUCAUGAAAAUUUAGUUUGUGUAUAUCUUAGAAAAGUCAGCCUUUUGUAAGGAAUUCAGAACAUCAUGUCCUGAGACUAAGUAAUGCAAAACUAUUGACAGGGUAUUUCCUUAACUCCAGUGGCACUUUCUUAAAUUAUAGGUAAAAGUGGAACAUGAAUAGAAGUAAUAUAAUUAUAGUUGAUCUUAUACUUGAAUAAAAAAAAAAAAAAGAGAGAGAAGAAGAAACUACUUACAAAGAACUUUGAGAAAAACAAGGAAUUCAAUUCUCUGUAUUAGCAUGAAGAUACAGGUUUCUUAUGGAACACUCCAUUCUGCAAUAACCUGCCAUUUAUUCACAUGAAUGUAAAAUAUCCAUCUCCUUCCCUCUUGCUGCAAUGCAAUAGACUUCAGACAGCGUCUGCUAGAAAGAGAAGGUUUAGCUGAUGCCCCGAAACAGAAUAGCCUUGCAAGUCUUAAACAGGACUUCAUGGGGAACCAAAAGGAGUCUGAGCCAAAAACUUUGUAGUUGGCUCAAUUUAUCCAUGAAAACAUUGGGUCAGUGAUCAAUCGCUACCCAAAUAAUUAAUAAAAUAUUAGGAAUUUUUGGAAAAAAAAAAUAGGAAAGAAAAAAAUAUAAUUCUGCCAUUGCAUAAAUUCACAGUUCUAUCGUGAAUAACGUAGGCAGCUCUAGACUUCUCAUCUCUGAAAAGAUAUGGAAGUACUCGACACAUUUUUGAAAAAAGCAGUAACCAUGAUCAGAGGAAGCAAACAUUUUCCAUAGUAGAAAUAAUAGAGUUGUUCAGGAAGAGAAGGGUUACCAAUUUGAGGAGGUCAUGUCAGAGGUCUAUAUAAUUAUGACAGGCAUGAAGAAUAAAGAUAGAGAUGAAUUGAGGCCAUGAAACGUGCAGCUUCCAAACAACAAUGAAAAAAGAGCUUUCAUACGCAACAGUUAGCUCUACCAAUGGAUGUGUGGACAAGAAAGCUAUAAGGCAUCUCAGGCAGUCUGGAUUGCAGCACCCAGAGAAAUAAAGUACAAAAGGUUCGGGGAAACCCUAAUCUGAAAAAGGCCAGAGCGUGAGGGAUGAUUAAUCACAGGGUUUUUGAUUACAGGCAAAAAUUAUCUCCAAUGACCUAGGAUAAUCGCUACUUUUCCACCAGCAUGUGUGGACAAUGCUGAAGUGCCACAGCGUUUCUAAAGACAAAACGGUGAUGAUCAGUUUUUCUAUUAUUUAAGUAAUUUCGCCUCUUAGAGCAAAGGAGUCUGCAAGAGCCCUAAGGGCUGGUGUGUCUGCUAUAUAUUUGGACUUCUGAAAAUUUAAUCAACGUAAUCUAAUCCCUAUGAUCUGUUACAACAGAGACACUUAAUUUAUUUUUACUUUGGCCCCCAGUGCUCAGACAAUUUUCUUUCUUGGAAACACUCUCAUAAUUGUGUUUGAUCCCUUUGUCUGAGGCAACCGAAUGUACUGAGGGGAAAAAUAUGUGGAAAUCACUGAUGCUGCCAAUUACAAAAGUGAUUAUUGAACUGAAGGUAAGUCUCUUCUGCAAGGGGAAAAAAUAGAGAAAAAUUGUGAUGAGCCACAAGAAAGAACAGUGUCAUAUGUUGUAGUAAUACCCAUACAAGUUUUCUUCAUGAAAUUUUCUAGUGUAUUGCCUUUUUUCAUCCUUGAAAUAAUCUUUGAGAUGUAAGAGAGACUAUACGUUCUGUGAUUCCUUCUGAAGGAUACCACAAUAAGAAUGAUCACAUUUCUCUUGAUUACAGUAAAAUGUUUAUCUGUCAUUCUUCUCUUGAUCACAGUAGUAUGUUUAUCUGUCGUUCAUUCCCUAAAUAUCAAUUUUCAGUUAAAAGAAAUCAAAAUUAAAUAAAAACUACUAUGGUGCAUUGCAACGGGCCAAUCCGUAGAAGACCCGUGCAAUGAAGAGGUAUGGAGAGUAGAUCCCUCAGAGAAACCAAGAAGGAGCAGUGAAAACAGACAUACUAUAUUGUGGCAAUUAUGUGUGCUGUUUAGGGGAAAGGCACCUGGAUACCAAGGAUGAAAGAAAAACUUCAAUUGCCAGAUUCAUGGUCACACAAUGAUAACUGUUUCACAGCUGGCUAAAUGCUAUCCUACAGUCUAAUCUAAAGUAAUCAGUCUUUUCAUCCAUUUGAACAAACCUUGGAUCAAGCCUUUAACCUGCUCUCUCAGGAGAAAAAGCUGAUAUACUUUUAUAUAUAUAUUAUUGUUAAAAAACAGGGAAACUACUGAAGUGUUCAUUAUAUACAAAAAGGAUGGGCAAACUCUUUUGCACGUUACAUUUACAAAUUGAAAACUGACAGGAAAACCCAGUGGUGAUCUUGGAUAUUUAGCAGAAACUUAAAACUGCCACUGACUAACACCUUUUUUUUACUGUGAGUAACCACUAUAGAUCAUAGGAAAAGAAAUACAUUUGCCAUAAAUUUAUAGCACCAAUUUGUUGUCAUGAGUGUUAUGCAGUGAGAAAUGAGGUUUGCAUGAAACUGAAAUUUAUAGGCUUUAUAGGGGAAGAAAAAAAGCUCUGUUACUUGUCACCUCGGAUCUAACUUUAGCGCACAGCACAUUUUCAGUGACAGCUUGUAAUGCAGAUCAGAUAAUAUGCUCAAUGUCAUAGAAACGAUUCAAGGUGUCAAAACAAAGCAUGAUUAUUAAAACAAACCAGAGCGAGGAAAAAAAAUGUAAUAGAACAAGAAAUGAGCAUACCUACAAAAAGUUAUUUUGGUCUACGUCUUUUCUGAGAGCUACAGUAAAAUGGUAGCACUUAGCACGUAAGUUUCUUUUUUAGCACUGAGCUCUGUUUGUAACAUAGAAAGGUCUUUGAACACACUCAUACCUAAAAAACGUUUGGGAUGAAACAGUCUCAGGUAUUUCCUAAUCUGUAUUUUGGACUUUCUUUGAGUUACAUAUAUUCUCCUUUAUAGGAUAGGUCUUUGUGAUUGCAUGAGAACUGCUGAGUCACGGCCUGACCCUCUGAUUGAUCACCUGAGGUGAGCAGUGAGUCAGGCACAGGAUCACAGGUGAAGGCAAUUCACCUGUGCUGCUGGAAGGGGUGCAGCCUGGUUCCACCCCUCCUAGACCCAUUUAAGAGCUGACUACCAGUAGGAAAGGGGCUCUUCUGGAGAUCCCAUCUUUGGAGUUUUGUGGUGAACCCAGGGUACAGUCAAGCCCCUCCAAACUAGCUAUCAGCUAUUCUAACAAAGGCUGAAACAGGAACAGAAGAGAGCUCAAUGAAAGAUGUGUCUAUGGAAAAUAUUACCAACUGUGAACUGGUUAUAUGCCCCCACUAGAAACAAAAAGCAGUACUGAAUGACAAUUAUUACAAAAAGAAAACCAAACUGUGGGCCAGAUGGUCAGAUCUCAUCUUAUGUUGAAGCUCACUGGUGAAUGCCUACUGAUUAGGAAGAGUUUCCCUGUCUUUUAGGAGGAACAUAACACCGGGAGUUAGUUGAUAUGAAAUUUUGCAGCGCAUGCAAGACUUUUGAUAAAUGUCAGCACAUCCCCUUUAGAUACUGAAAAGCCAACUCGACCUUCUCCAGGCUGAACAGCUCAAGCUCUCUCAGCCCUUUCUCACAGAGGACAUGUUCCAUCCCUUGGAUCACUUUUUGUGGUGUUCCUCUGGACACAAUCCAACAGGUCUAUGUCUCUUCCAUGGACUUCACAUCUGGACACAGUAUUCCAGGAGCUGUCCCAGUGAAACAUCUAUUUGAACAUGUGAGUUCCAGCUAAUACAAGCUUUCCAGUUCAGUGUCACGGGGACUUGGGCCUUUGUAGGUUUGGGACUAGACAGCAAAGCAAUGUGAUUGGAGCAACAGAGACAACUCCAUGUAAGGGACUGCAAUCUCAUACGAGAAGGCAUUUGCAUGUUUCAUCCAACAAAUAGAUAGAGCCAUAAUAGUUAUUAGCUUAUAAAUGCUAUGGAACUAAUAAUCAUCUCGCAUUAAUUUGACAAAGUAUUUUUCAACAAUGGAAAUGGCUCCAGAGAACAGAAGUUUGUUAGCAUCCAUACUAUUCUAUUUGAGGAUGCAGGAAUGCUUUUGAAUAAUUAGGUUUCCAGAAUUUUUAUGUGUGUAUAUACACACACACAGGUAAAAGUACUGAUUUAAAAAGUCCAACUACCCUACAAUUUCCACAAUCAGCAACAAAUCUUUUGUAACAUUUUAUGGCUUUUCAUACUCCUGUGUCAGACACUGCUGUCGUGUGGAUAUUUUCAUCUCUGCCUUUAAGUGGGAAGAUUUCUAUUUAUACAGACGUAUGAAAUCACUGGAAGUUGAUGAAUUAAAACAUUAUUCACUCAGGAGAAAAUGACCUUCUUAUAAAGACUGAUGGAACAACCACCAGCAACUUCAAGAAAUUGUUUACCAUUCUCUGGAUGAUCACAGCUUGAUCUGAUUUUGAUCUUUUCAUAUUUUACACAUAACUUAUUUGUAGCAGACCAGUGAAAAAAUGGAUGUUUAUUUGUGUGAUGUUAAGUCACUGUUCUCUAGUAAUUCCCUCUUUUAAACGCAUACACAUACUGAGUAAUGUAAAUAACUAUUUUCUAUGAUUAUUUACAAUCAUAAUCAUGAGGGGCCUAUUGGUUUUGCUAUGUUGUUUUGGAAGCACUUUGAAGUCCUAUUAAAGACCAGGAUCUUUUGGUACCAAAACACAAAAUCUGUUCUCACAAGAUAUAAACAGUUUUCAUUCCAAUUCAUACUUAAAAAAAAAAAAAAAAAAAAAAAAAAAGCAAUUGUGGAGGCUGCAUGCAUGUGGUCAUCAAAAUAAUUUGUAACAAAAAUAGCCUGUAAUCAAGUAUUUACUGAUUAUUUGUAACUAGUUCCUUAAAGGCUGACAAGCCUAUAAUUCUGACAGAUUUAAUACAGAGUUAUGUUCUUCUACCUCCGCAAAUUAUUCUUUUUAUGGAGUAUAAUAGAUAAUGAUCUGUAGAUCCUUAUCCAAAGUUGACAGACAUCUUUCUCCAUGAGCCCUACUACUUAGUACCAAUCAGACUGCAAUUUACUGCAAUGCUUAAGGAAAAAAAAACCAACAACAGUAUCCUCCUCUUUCAGAAAAAUCAGUGAAAAUGGCAGACUCUUCAGCUGUAAGAAAAAGCUACCAAAAAAGGAAAUUUUCUAGACACUUCAAAGUUCUCUCUCUCACCCCUCCUGCUUUUUUUUUUUUUUCCCUUCCAGUUCCAGACUUUGCAGAUACUGUGCAUUAUUAUUGAAGGAAUGUACAGUAUUCUCACUUUUAAAGAUUUUGCUUGGAACACCCAGAUAUUCAGAUGGCAUCAUACAGAAGACAAAAAGACUGUUUUCAUUAUAGGGUUGCUUCUCUAUCUGCCAGACUGCAUAUCUUGUUUACUGAAGUGUCAUUUUUAAGAAAGUCUUUAGAAUCAUUAAAGAUUCUGAAUUCCUGGCUCCACACAGGACCACCUAAAAUCCAAACCAUGUGUGUGAGAGUGUUGUCCAAACGCUCCUUGAACUUGGUGCCAUGCCCACUGCCUACUGAUGAAGAACCUUUCCUUAAAAUCCAUCCAUGUAUGCCCUGUAGAUAUGUGGGAGCAGGACGAGACUUUCAGGAACCCACGCAGCCCUGUCUUCACCAACCUGAGACUCACAUCUUUCAAAAGGUCAGGAGAGAUUUUUUGAGGCAUACAUUUUACACAAACCCAUGUCACAUCAGAUCCCUGUUGCUAGGGCAGUUACAGCAAGCUGUGCAGGGAAUCUACAACUGCUGGAAAUUUCUUUCAGCUCAAUGUGAUUCACAGACAUGAGCACUAAUAAGAACAUAGUGUAUUAUUAAAAAUAUCAGCUUGACAGGGCUCAGCAAGUGCCUGUAGCAAGCGUACCUCAGAAAUGGGGAAAAAGCCCGACUCCAUUAACUUUCUGCAUCUGAGCCUUCUUAUCUGAGGAGGGAGGCAGAGAAAUUACACAAGGUUGAGAUUUUAAUGAGAAGAAGUGGAGUAUUAAUGAAAUGCUAAUGAGAUCUACAUAAUCUAGUGUGUCACUGCGGGCUUUCAGUCCUUUCAAGACUGGUAAACAAAACAGCAACCAUUGCUUUGCCUGAAGUAGAUUCAUGAAUUUAGCAGUGGAAUUUAAAAGCAUUAAAAAUGCCUUGUGUCCCUGGUAGUGACAUUAAAUCUUGAUUUUUUUAAAAAAAUAAAUUUCUCAAAUGUAGAAGUAAGACCUCAAGUUUUUCUCCUGCUGUGGAUUUGCUACAUACAGCUUUAGAGUCAGGCCUCAGAAGUGACCAGGUGGUUUGCACAGGAUUGGGUGACACCAUUUCUACUUAGGUAACUAGAGCUACAGCUAGAGCUGAAACACAGGUUUCAGUGGAAAGCAUCUCAUGGGAAAAGGAGGUAAGUCACAGAACUUUGUAAAUGAGUUUGUUUUUCUAGGAGAAAAUGGCACUCAGGAAAAUGAGAAACAGAGAGCAGUAUCUGCAUCCAAGCAGGGGAAGGAGUCCUAACUGGCAAAACAAAGGUCUCUGUGACCAAAACCUCUUCCCGGGGAAGCUAACAAAGAUCCUCAGAGUACAGAAAAAUACAGACAGAGUAGCAGAAGCAGCUGAUCAGAGUAGUACUUUUGUCUGGCAGAAAAUAAUCAUUUUGAAUGAAAAAGAUGUGCAAAUUUUUCUGUUUGCUUCUCUAUGCAGGCUGAGAAAGUGAUUGCCAGGAGCCCCAGAUCAACCUUAUUUUCUCAUGCUAUGAGGGUGGUAGCCAGCUGUAAAACCAGGGCUUUGACUUCACACAGGUCUGACUCAUUUGUCCGCUCAAAGCCCUGGCGGAGGGGCUGGAGCUGAUACAGUUGUUGUUAUAAAUAUUUCUCCUUUCCUGCUAUUCUCUUUUCAGUGUGUUUCCAGUGCUCAAGCCUAUGGGGAGCUUUCAGGCAAGAGAUUUUCCUUUGCAGAGUGACUUAACUUUGGGCCCAAAUAGGCUGUCAGAAGACUGGAGUGCUAAAAAAGGCAGAAGUAGGUUGGAACUAUUUUUAUAGCCCUGUGAUCCAAAGGCGAUCUUUGUCUUAUACAGGAGAGAACAAGUUUCAAGCUGUUCUAUUUUGUUUCCUUGUUUUACAGCCUUCAGUAGCCCUCUCUGCCCCUCAGGGAUCUGUGAGACACGGGGCCACAGCUGCCACUCGUCUCCCUUCCAGUAAAAGGACUCGAAUUCACAGAGGAAAAAUUUAAGUUAGUUCUCUCCUGGUACAGAAACAGCCAAAGGCACCAUAGAAGAUGUUCAGAAUUACUCUUUGCAUCAUCUGAUUUCUUUAUACAUGGCUCCUAAGAAAACUUUACAUAUGAACUGAACUUCAAGUCAGAUUUCAGUGGUAAUAUCCACCACCCCUACAUUUGCAAGUUUGAGGCUUUACUAAAAAGGUCUUAAAUGUAGUUCUAAACUGGAAGAAAAUUUGCAUUCUUUUAACUACCAAAAUGAUGCCAGCUCAAUAAAGCUCAUUUGGAUCCUCCAUAUAUUAGCAUCAAACUGCUGAUUCCAAAUACUUUCUUCCAGACAAAUGACUUAUUUCCCACAGGGAGAAGAAAAAUGCAGAUAGAAAAUAAAAGAAGUCAUUCAGCAGCUUCAGAUGUAUUUUUACCUUGAAUCUGUUUUCCUCUAGGUUUUUACUUUUAUUCUUCCAAGAAAGAAAUGUCUUUCCAUUUCAACACUUCAGCUAUACAUAUAUCAUAAUAAUUUAGCAUACAUUCCUCUAAUCUUUGAUUAAUGUCUUACCUUUUACUUAAAUACCCAUUAGCAUGAAGUCAUCACAGUAAUUUCAGUUGAAUCCCCAUAUCACUGACAUAUUGUUAAUGAGGACAUGAUUAGCAUCUGAAAUUUUCAAGGGAUGAUUGCUGAACUGUUUGGAUUCUUCCCAUCAAGACUCUCUAGUUCUUUUACAGGUAAAGAGAGAUCUUUGAAUCAGAUUCUUCCACAUUUCUUUGUAUGAAAAUUCCAAGUCAAGAUAAGUGCACAAUUUCUGAAAGUUAGUUGGUAUUUGGGUGAAAAAUGUGCUCAGAUUACUUUCUCACAUGCUGAUCUUCAUUACUUUAUUAUUUCUUUAUUUUUUCUUGACUGACUUGUAUGUUUCCAUCAGAUCCUUUUCUUCCAUCUGAGUCUAUAAGAAUCUGCAGACAGGAUUACCUCUUAUGGAAACACAGGUAACAAAAUUUUUUAUCUUCUAAAAUACUGCUUCUGAAACAAAUUUUACUUUCAUUUACAUGAAACCACAUGCAAAUCAUAUACAGUCUAAAAUGUUCUUUUCAACAAAAAUAGUCCUCCAUAUGCUUUUGUUGAUUUUUUUUACCUGCUCUAUUAAGUUCCAAGUGCCAGAAUUAAAUGACUGACAGUGCAUUUGUUUGUUGCAAAAACUUUCAAGAUCCACUGAAAAUCUCAAUAGUAUCUAUCUCUGAGCGUGGCAAGAAAAUAACGCUGUCUACAUUCCCCUACCUCUGUUCUCUUAUAUGUUAAAUAAGAACAACGCUGACUUGACAGAGCUACAAUUUGAUACUUGAAUUCAUUAGUGUUUGUAAGAUACGGUCCAAAGUGAAGUUUGCUGGAAGCACUGCUACCUUAAGAAAUAUAAUCUCUUCCUGUCUUUUCCAAAAUCUUCCCAGAACUAGGACUGCAGUUUUAACGCUGAAAAAAAUCUGUGCAUGAAGUAUUGUUUCACUACCUUGUGCCUCGUUAGCAUUUUAUGUCCCUUUCCUUGCAAUCCUGGUGUUCUUGGACAUAUAAGUAUGGACUAACAUAAUCUGCUCAGGAUCUGCAAAAAUGGGGAAGAUGAGCUCACAGAAAGCUGUGUGCUGCUGUGUUACCAUGUCUGCAUGAAGGAACUCAGAUACUUUUGCUUUGAAUGCAAAUCAGGUCAGUUGUCAAAGCAGUCUCCUGAUACCACUGCCGAGGCUUUGCCAUUCCUGCUUCUUCCUGCUGCGUUGAUUCAUAUCUUUCAGAUACUAGUGGUAGAGGCUCACUGUCUCAGAUAAAGGAAACAUCAUUAUUAUUCACCUCUUGCCCUUUCUCCUAUUGUCAUUGACCCUGUGGGUGUUUAUAAGUGUUAAUGAGGACUGUCCUGUAUUUUUGGCAGGGUCCGAUAGUCAAAGCACCAUGAGUGCAGCACCUUGUGCUUUGCCUUGUUUAGCAUAGUUGAUAGUAUCGUGAAUUUACAUGGCUUUGUUACUCUCCUUGCACUGUUUAAUUGAAUGAAAAUUACCUGAGGUUCGCUUUAUCCCUUGUACUGUGUAAGCAACCAGUAGACUUGGAUCCUGUUUACUGCUUCUGUUUAUUGAACUUGUCUUUCUCCUGUGUUAAUUACUGAGAUGUCCACUUUAAGUACCUAUAACUGUGGUCCUAAAUGUGAAUACUUUUGUAUAUGUUACUUACAUUAAGCAUGUGAAUAGUCCUACUGAAAUCCUAAAAACAGGAACAGCUUAAGUUACGGAUUAUUAUAAUGCAGUAUUUGAAUUAUUUCCAGGUUACUAGAAUGCUGUUUCAUAGGACUGAGAAUGCCACAACUUAUCAGCUUGCUCAUCUGUACCUCAUACUUCAUUUUACUCAUCUGUAAAUAAGAUAUUCUUCAUCUUAUUUAGUCCCCAUCACAGCAGCAACUAGCAGUAUUAUUAGAGGUUUUAUGCAAUGCAAAUAAAGUAUAGGAGUCUCUAAAUAAGGUCUUAGAUAUUUAUUAGAAUAUUAGCUACUAUAAUAAUUGAAGCACUGGGGUGAAUUUCACAAUAAUUGUAUUAGUUUAAAAACAGUGAAAUAUUUUCCUUGUUUAUAAGGUUAUGCCUGCCCUGUGUACAAAUUUUUUACUGUACUGUACAAACGCGACACCUGAGCGCUGAAAGCAAUCAGUUAAACUGUUAAGUAAGCCACAGGGGCUGAGAGCAGAGGAACAGAGUUUGAAGAGCAAUUACUGAAGAUGAAGAAAAAGGCAAUUUAGAAAGCAAAUUCAAGUAUAGUUCAAGUUUAGUCAAGGAGAAAGAGAGGGAAAAAACCCAGUGUAUUACACAUCUAGAUUUUUGUUAGUUCCUUCAAAGACCCACACUUCAGUUUGUUUAUUCUUAAAGUCCUCUACAAUUAAUGCAAAGAGAGGUCUGCCAUUCCUGUGUGGAUCACCUAUCCUUAAAAUCAGUGUCUAAAAUAUUACCCUUUAGUGCUCUUUCUCUCUCCCUCCCUCCAUCAUGAGUAAAGGAAGAUGUCUUAGAAAGAUAGUUUCUACAAAUGGCUUACUUCUGAAUAAAUUUACAUGAAAAAAUUCAGUCAAAAAAGCCCAAGGAAGUUACAGCUUGCUCAGUCGCUUGAAUGAGGAAUGUCCAGGCAGCAAGAUUUUCUUUUUUUGCAGUUUCUAAUACUAGUACAAAAUGUGAAUAUUUUCACAGAAACUGUGGUAUAUUCUUGACAAUCUAUUUUUGCAUCAGACUGUACUCAGAAAAAUAGUAUAGUCAAUAAGAAAGUGGAGUUCACACUGCGCAUUUCCUGGCUUGUAAAUCAUAAAUAAUAGGAGGAGACACUUGUGCUGAUAUCUACUCCCGGAGUUGUAGCUCAGCAGGUUUGUCUCCCAGCAGAGUCCCUCAGCAUCCCAUGCUGGGGUCCUGGUAGCAGGGUGCUUCCCUCUGAACCAAAGGCACCAAAUCUAGCCAGGAGACACCAAGCUCAAGAAUGCCGUGCAAGAGAUUUACAUCCAACCAGAGAGGUGACUCAUGAACACCAGCACAGGCACUAGCACCACUUUUUUUUUUUUUUGCAAAGUGAAGUGAUGGAAAGGUAUAGAUUUGCUAAGAAUUCAGAAUGGCUCGUCUUCUUGAAGAGCUGCAGUGAUAGACCAAAAGUGCUUGGCUCUGCCUUGGGUCACACAUCUCUUCAGGCCUUAGCUAGCCAUCGUGGGGGUGCCCAAAGUGCAGCAGAUGCCUGUAGGCUUACACGAGUCCAUUUUCACUCAAGGCAGCUCUUGGGACAAGAAGGCAGAGGCUGGGAGGCUCCAGGUCUGCUCUCAAGUAAAUAGGAAAAAAGGAGAUAUGCUGAUUUAAUGUUGAGCUUUCCAUUCAAGAGCAGCUGAGCAUUGAGGGUGGAAGAGAGAACCAGGAGCAGCUUUUUAUGAUUCACAGGUAAGAGUAAUGGCCAGCACCAAGUCACGUUGCACUGUAUAAUUGUUUUCUUCCCUGGCACUCUUUCUAUUUUUAGACAUUUUAAUUUCCUGUAAUCUUUCCACAGUCACAUGUGAGCAAGUAAACAGAUUGUUUUGAAUUAAACAGCUGUGCUAAUUUAUUGCGCUAUUAAAAGCAUAGCUCGAAUGUUCCGUUCACUGCAUGCUGGGACUGGAUGUACUGGUGUGUACAAAUGGGCACACAUCUCCCUUCAAAUUAAAACUUACACAUGCCACAGAAGAGGCAGGGCAGGGUAGCAGGCAGAGCAACUGGAGGACAUUCAGUUCCACUGGAGACUGUGCACAGAGGAGGCUGUAGCUGUGCUUGAGGGGGACCUGAGGCAGCUGUCUCCAGGGCAAGAAGGAAUGGACAUCCUCCUGGCAGCGCUACUGAGUGAGCCACAGCCUUCUCUUUUUGCUGACCUACUGCUUGGACUUCUAGAGAACUGUUUUGGUCAAGGCAGAUUGUGUUUGAUCUCCUGACCACAGGUGCAGGUACAGGUGCUCUCUGUCUCCUUGACAAGGCAAGGAACAUUUCCUUCCCCAAGUCCUGUACUAGUAGAAUUUUACUCUGGCCAAUCAUCAGCCACCCAAAAGGAAAGAUAAAAUGGACUCUCUGCAAACGCACCUACCUUCUCACAGUGGUCUAUAUGCUUGAGGCCAGAGUGAAAUAAAAGGAUUCAGGGGAACAGACCUAAAGCACCAGAGAAGGUAAAACUGGUUGUGAGCUCAGUGGGCCCCCAGUGGUCAAGGUCACCUCACACUUUAUAUAUCAGUUCUGGUCUUUCUUACUAGAAGACGCAAUCUCAAACACACUGUUUAUCAAUUUUUCUUUCUUCCUGGAUUGAAUUUCUGGGACAGCAAACAUAUAUUUUAAAUGAAAAUCAUGAGAAAUGGAAGGCUGUUAUGAUCUUCUGAACUGAUCUAGGAGAAUAUCCAUAUUAAAUAAGUCCAUGGAGAGAGCAAGAGAUGUUGCAGUCAAGAUAAAGAAAUAUUUUUUUUAUUCUGGGUUUUCUUGUCAGAAGUUUGAAAUUGCUCACCUCUAUAAUUCUCACAUCUUCUAAAAAGCAUUCCUGAAUUUCUAAAUCUUGCUUCUCUGAGCAUUUCUACCAAUAGCAAAGGAAACAAAUUACAAUUACCUUUCUAAGAGACCUAAUGGCACAUAAAAUACUUGGGUGAAUGUACAUGACUCUUCGCUGUGUCUUGGCUGCCCUAAACCUGAAACAAUUCUAGGAGAAAAAUCCAGUCAUCCCUCCUAAUAGUUAAUCAACUCUUUGAAAUGCAAUUUUCACAUGUCCUAUGCAUUUAUUCUUUACAUUCUAGAGCUUCUAGGUUAACAAGAAACAAAUCAGGUUACAAAUAUUUGUAUUUGUAUUUGUAACUCUCUGUAUAUAUGUAAUUUGUAAGCUAUAUAUAUAUACACACAUAUGUAUGCAUAUACAUGUGUAUAUAGCACAUGUUGUUUAUGGAAAAUGAAAUAUUAUUUGUUCAAUGAGCAACUCUCUGUGUUAACAAGUUCCUAUGUUGACAAAAAUCAAUGCUUGAUAGCAAGGAAACUUGAGAAGAACAGAGAGAGAAAGAAAAAGGAGACAGGUGGCUUGCCCCAGGUCUGCCAAGAACAUUUUGGGCUUGGAGAACAUGUACUCCUUUACUUGGCUGAGUGCUGUUUCUGUCUCAUCCACUGAAAGAUUUCUUCUCUUUCACCUAGCUUGCUUCUACCAACUGCACGUAACUUGCUGUCUGUUCAUUUGCUCUGUUCUUCAGCAAGGUGUCUUACCAUUGAUUGUCCAUCGUUCUUUGUGUCUAAUUUUUUCUGCUUGUGGAUACCAGGUGGCAAUAGAUUAUUGCUCUCCUUUUGUUCUCACCUUCCCCAUCCUCCCCACUUGUCAUCCCAACUAAUCAAAAAUUAGCAUUUGCAAGUGUUCCACUGUUGGUGGAAAAUGUUUGAAGUUCUCCUUAAUAUACUGACAGCACUGAUGAGUACAGAUGCUCAGGGCAAUCACAAACAAAAGUAUGGCUUUCCUCAGCUCACCUAUCUUCCUUAUUCAUCUCUGAAAUCCAAUCAAGCACUCACAGAAAUAGAUGAUUUUUUCUUUUGACUUCAGCAGCACUAGAGACGAGUCCCUUGGGCAGCAGCUAAGUCCUCUGACUUUAAUAACAACAGGAUACUGGCCCCAUUCCUCAUCCAUAUUUUAGAUAUCCAGUUCAUUCUGCAGUACAGUGAAUUGUAGCAUUGACAAACAGAUUUAUCUAUGCUUUUUCUUGCUCAUCAGAAUUCCACAUACUCCCUAUGAAGUUUAUACAUUCCUAUGAUUACCUCAGUUAGAACCCUUCAAUACAGGACUAGUACCUUCAUAUCUCUUCAUAUUUCUUAAACAUAAGUUAACUUGAAUGUAACAGACAACAUUUUCCAGUGAGUUCAGUACAUCCAGGACCAAUUAAACUUUGAAACAUUUGUGCUAUUAAUUUAUGCCUGUGUAAUAUCUGCCCGUGUGGGAUUUCCAGAUGUCUGAAGCCUAGCCAAAGCUUCUCCUUCAUCACUGCUUCUGAACAUCUGGAAAUUCCAGAUGAGUAACCAAAUCUGCUUUUCACAUGGACAAUGUUCCUGAAGUGAAAGAGUCCACAUGCAGAAAAUCAGAUGUAUAGAUAAAUAGCAUCCUUAGGAUGAGGUAAGAAUACUUUCAGUGUUAUAAAAAAGAGAGCAUUACCAAAAAAAAAAAAAGACAUCUUUCUCCUGCUGAAGAGCAAUAGAAAACAAGUGCCGAAUUCCUCUCUGAGCCUUUUAAAAUCUACACUAUAUCUCAUUUUGUCUUAGCUUUUUUAUGCCUCUUUUCCUCUUUUUAUGAUGUCUAUUUCACCUAAGCAGAUACCUUUAUUAACCUCUUUCCUUCCCUUUUCACUGUGAAGACAUUUCAGAUUAUCAGAUUACAGAAGUACACCUCAAAGCUCUCGUGCUUACAUCUGUAUGUCCAUUACUUGUCCAGUUUCAUUAGCUUUUUCUUCUCCUAUGGCUCUGUAAUUUAUGUUUCUCAGGGGACCAGUAGACUAUUUCUUACUGACACACAAUUCACCCCAUGAUAUACGUAUGUCUGAAUAGUAUUGCCAUAUAAAUAUUUGAGCUAUGCAUUUCUUCAUUAAACUACAAUUUAUUAGGCAGCUAUUUCAAAACCAAUCCUACAUCUCUCCUAGUUCUUUUUUUUUUUUUUCUAGAGGUCAUGAACACACUGUGAUGUGAAUUUAAUUUGUGCUAAACGCAGUGUGGUCAGAGGAAACGCUUCUACUCAGAGUGUUUGUGAUGUUUGAAUAUGCAUGGACGCUUUGCUGCUACUGUGGGUUUAAUCUAACUCUUAUUAAUGAAUAUACCUUCUGUGGCCAGAAUGAUAAAUUGGGAAAUAAGACUGCAGGUAAACUGAUUUUAAAAAAAAAUAUGUGGACCCAUUGGGAAAAAAAUUACAUCCUGAAAUCAUCAAAGAAAGACUGGAAUGCCAGGUGUGAAUUUUAGCUAAAGGGUUUGCAGUAAUUUGAUAUACUUGUCAUGUAAAUUAACAAUUAAUAAGCAGUAUAAUAAUGCAAUAAUAGGUAGAACACUGAAAUAUAGAGAGAUAAAAUGUAAGCAGGCUUAGAAAAGCAGGAAUUAUUUCAGAUCCUGAUCCUGCCAGCACUCCCAAGUGGAAUUAACAUCAGGAGCUACUUAUAAUGCCUCAAUUUUUUAGAUAGAUAAUUCUGUCACUUACAUGUUGGUCAUGUGUUGAACCUUUCUUUACAUUUUCCUUUAUAAAUCUAUUCUAUUCUUCUGUUCAGUUUCUGUAUGGAUGUGUAGACUAUGAACGACACACUUGACCUGCAUCUUUUGCUUGCAAGUUUUAUGGUUCAAAGAAGAGAUGUUUGUAAGUUUAUUACCAUUCUUGUUGGAGACAGAAUUUUCCUUAGUAGUAUGCACAUAUAAAAUAUGUGAAAGCAUUUUAACUUAAAGCAAAGAACUGGUUUGAUCAAACCAGUCAAAUUGGUUUGAUUUCUGUUUCUGUGUUGGUGGGUUUGCAGCUUUUGUUUGUGUUUUGUAGGGGUGAGAUUUCCAUAUGAGUGAGUGCUGUUUUUUUUUCUCCACAGAUUAGUUCUUGAAAGUCUUUUUUUAUAUUUAUAUACUUUGACAAUAGUAAUAUUGAUCUUAAAAUGUGGAAGUGAUAUAUUUCAGUGGAAGGUGUUACUAAAAUACAAAAUAUUUUAAUUAAAAUGUGGGCAUCAUGCAUUAUUAUUAGUAUAAAAUCACACUAAGAAAAAAGGAAGUGAGGCUUAAGUCCCAUAAUUAAGAUUUUCAUAGCAUUAGGUUGAAAAGAAAAUGGACUUCAAGGAAUGUUAGUCUUUUUAUGAAAUAUAUGAUAAAAUUUUCUUUCUCUAAUGUGUAGAUGGAAAUACUGGAUUCAAAAGCAUUUUUGAAUGAAUUUCAGAUGGAUUGAAAUAAUAUUUAAAGGGGAGAGUCUGUAUUAUCCAAGAAUACAUCCGAUCUAUAAUUCAAUGCAUAAUAGCUGCUCUAACCCAGACAUUACUCUGCCAAAAUCUAACUCAUUAUUGUAUAAAAAUGAAUAUCUUGAAAAUGCUAAGUGCUAUAUGGAAUAAAGUAGUAUUUAAUUUUUGAGUGGCAAAAUCUUCAUAAAGAAAAAACAUUUCUUUGCAGAUCUUUAUCAAAUCACACAAUGGACCUCUUUAAGAAAAGAAAGAAGAAGUUUGCCUGCAGAAUGAUCAUUAAAAAGUCUGAGCUCCUUUAUGUCAAUUAAAAGCUUACUUCUCACCUUACAGGUCACGUCCUAAAUCCUACAAAUGUAUUCACUCAAGAAAGCAGAUUAGAUUGAUAGAAUGAGUAAGAACUUGCAUCACUGGGCACUAAAUUAUUUGACAGUAACAUUUUAAAACUCAAUUUAAAUGAUCUUUCGUUAUAAUACAUGGUUUUGGGAAGUGAAAAGUGUUUUCUAUCCACUGCUUAAUUCUCAUGGAAAAAUUGUUCCAUAUGAAGAGUAAUUUCCUUCAUACUUGGAGUGAAAAAGAUAAAUGAGAGAAAAGCAAUUUAGCUCAUUGAGAAAUCCCAGUUGCCACAGUCUGGGCAUUUUAGGGAGAAAGAUGAACUUUCAUUUCAAGUCUAGAGGUGUGGAAUUAACAAUAUUUUUCUGUAGAAAUCUACAGCUCCUAUAUAAUAAAAAAGUUUGUUUUCUUAUAAAAAUCAGAACCUAUUUCUUAAAAAAAACCUCUGAAAGUCCUUGUCCUAACCUGAUUCAACCAGUUCAAAGUGUUUUCUCCCUUCCACACUGCCUCUGUUCAUAGUUCUAUUGACUAAUGCAAUCAUUCAUCUGUUUGAAAAGCAUGGUGCAUUUGACAAUGGAAAACUAUGUUUCUUGAGUUUUUGUUCUGUUGAGUGAUAUUGAUCAUGACGUUUGAAAGCACAAUGUGCCUUUAUCCCUUUUUAUUCUUUUCUCUCAUAUAUUUUGUUAUUUUUCAUCUUUGAAUAUGUCUGUACAACAUAAUGCAGUGUCUUAGAAGUAUAUUCAACUUACCUUGGGCACCAAAAGCUGUAUAGAAACACUAACAUAGCAAUCUGAAUAAGCUAAUUGGCCCAGCUGAGAAGAUAUGUCGGUAGAGCAUCACAGUGUUACAAGAGCAUUUAUUGAUCCAGAGCUAACUUGCAGGAUAUUUCUGAGCAAUACUGCAGUGCUCAUCUGUUUACUUCAGGUCUUGUUUUUUAACAGUGGCUGUAUCAGAGGCUUCAAAGAGACAAAACCUUCAGCACCUUGAGAAGGAAGAUGAGGGUGAAGAGGCAGAAGGGUUUAAUAGAGAGUGCUUUGGUCUGCUUUGGCUGUCAAGUCUACUGCCAAAGUUAGUUUCUGGAAAGUGUUGAUGAAAACUGAAAUUAGCUGCCUUGGAAAGGAUUGUGAAAAUUAAAUCUUUUAAUCUGUAAAGAAUGUUAUAGUUUCAGAAACCAUUCACAUUUUCCAGAAGUCUCCUCUGAAGGAUACUGUUCAACAUACAAAAUACAAGCAUUUUGUUGCUAAUGGUGACUGCAGCGAUUGUGUUCAUCUUGAAGUUAAACAUUCCCAAGAUGCCUGUUCUUUUGUAGCUCUACUUCUUGGCUAGUCCAAGAAGAGAAGGAAACAAGGAAGCCAUUUGUAAUAUCCUGAAGUUCACAGUCCACCAUCAGCAUUUUCAAUUUUGUCCAUUUUUAACCUUGUACAGGAAGGAUCUCUUCCUUGUUAUCCCCCUCAAAACUGUUGGCCGUCACUAGUGACAGCUGCUACAUUUAAGACCACAGUCGUUUUUUUGUAUUAUAUGUCUUUGUGAAUGCCAUCUCUCAUGUUCACUCUAUGACCUGGAGUUAUCCAACCUCUGGAAGAAGCUACUGUCUAUGAAAGGUCCUGUUGUUGUUUUGUUUUGUUGUUGCUUUUUGGUUGGUUAUUUUCCAGAAAUCAACUUGAUAAGACACACAUUAAUUUACAUACAAAAACAAAGGCAACAAAAACAUAAGAACUCCUGUGCUUGCUGAACCUUAUGCUGACGUUUCCUUUCCUGACACUUUUAGCAGUGCAUUAUUAUAUUUCUUUUGAAAGCAGCAGGAAGUUUGACUCAUGUACUUUAAGUUAAAUACUCUCUUUCAGCUGUUUAAAAUUUAUUUAGGUUAAAGUAUAUUUUCUUAUGUCUGAUUUCAUUUUAAUUUGUUCUCUGUUAUAUACAAAAAUGUUGCAAACAAUCUGUACAGACUGUAAUCUGGAAGUUCAAAGUCAAAAAUUCACCCCAAAAAACAAUUUCAGUCUUUUUAAAAUGUUCUUGAUCCCUGUAAUGAGUGAUAAGAAAUACACAUGUAGCCAAAAAGUGUCUGUAGACUCAAUCAGAUUCAUAAUACGCCCGUACUUCUAUGAAAAGCUACAAAUGAAAAUAAUUUUAUGCCUUUCAUCUGUUUCUGUGGAAUCAGAAGUGAAAUUGAGAAUAAGAAAAUAUUCAAGGUAUGUUACACUUGUUUUUAAGAUCUGUUCCUGUAACAUAAUUGUGCAAAUAGAUAAAAUUAUGGACGCACAUGUCUGUUAAUAACAGGUUGGAAAAAGAACUCUCUCCAUACAUCCUGUAUGGAUUGUUCUAUCUCAAUAUUUUGUAUGACUAAGGACUGCAAAAGGAAAGAAAAUAGACAUUAUAUUUAAAACCUCGUUGUUGCUCAAUGAACUGUUAGAGUACUCAGGGGUUACGCAGGUGCUUUUGCAACAAAAACUUUAAUUCAGAGCAGUUAUUAAAGUAUGAUGUUGUUUGCUGCAGGUACAGCUGUUGAACAAACUUCUAUUUGCAGCAGGGACUCUAUGAGUUACAGCCAAAGUAGAAUUUAAUUAACAUAAGUCUUGUUAAUUACCACCAGUGAUUCAUUUGUCUUCUCUUUGGAGAGAAACAUAGUUCGGAAAAUGGCACUUGCUCUUAAAUGAUUUCAAAUAGCUGUGCUUGCAAUAACAUUGGCUGGAAUUAGAAUUGUUAAGCAAUGGGCAUAUGUUGGCAGCAGUUUUACACAGAUUGCUUACACCAAAAUUAUUCUAGCCAGAGCAUUAGAAAUGGCCUUCCGUACAACCCAGGUAUCUCUGUAAUGAUGAGCUGUUCCCUAUCUGGGACAAACAGCUCUAUGCAAGAGAAGCCAGACCUGGUGUGACUUAGGGACCUAUCAGAGCAGUAAAACUGGGCUUCGUGACUGCAUCAUAGAUAUUACUGAGAUUUACGUGUUAAACAUUUCCUGUAGCUCCCAGAAGUGCAGUUGAAAAUGGCUUGCAAUUAUAGUGUGGCUAAGAAAUAUUGUCUGUAAGGUGAAUCAGCAGCGUAUGCAUUUACAGAAUGAGCACAGCCAUUACACUUAGUGAUUCAUAGCUGCAGGAGUUCAAACAUUUUCAUUACUUAAUCAGAUGAAGUUCAAGAUGAAGAUAAAGGCAGAUGUUUCACAUUCUAAAUUGAUCUGUUAUCACAACUAUUUAACAGGAUCAUGAAAAAAAAGCUUUAUAAAUAUUCUUCCAAGAAGAUGAAUGUUUUGCCUAGCAUUUCAUAUUCAACCCUAGUGCAAAUUUUUGUUAUCCAUAAAUGUAUUCAGUCUUAUCUACAACUGACACAGAAUGAACUCUCAUAUAUAAAUAAAGAACAAGGUACCUGAAAUUGCUGAAGAUUCUGCAGCAGCCCCGCUAACCACUGCUGAUCUUGAGCAUCAGGAGAUUCUUGUAGAUAAGCAAGAUACCAGUUCUGCUGUGUGAAUGAAUUUAUUCACAUAAACUGUGGUUUAUGAAACCAGACACCCAUACUAAACCCCUUUAACCAAGUAGUCAUCUAUCCUUGUCUUCUUGUGCAAAGUAAAAGGGGGUAGCAGAUCCCAAAAUUCAGCAAGGGAGAUGUAGGGUCAACACUGUCCCUUUGGAGCUUUCAAAAGAGCCAAAUUUUGUGCAAGUGAAGCUUUGUAGUGUAACCACUGGAUAACAAGGACUUGUAAUGGGAGAAUACAUAUGAUAUAGAGUGUUAAUUAGUAUUUUACAGAAAUAAGGGAAUGACUUCAUUUUGACAAACUAGGGGAAUAAAAGGUUAACAAUUUAAUGUCUAUACUGAAAAGCAAGGAGAGGAGGAAAAGGAGAAAGAAGGAAAGAGUAAAAUGGUGAGAAAGAAAAGGAGACAUCAAGACUAGGGAGGCAGACAUUUUCAUUUAAUUUGAUGCAAUUUAAGAUAAGAAAUGUUAUUUCCUAUUGAUUUACCCAUAAUCCAUCUCUAUGGCAUGAAUCAAUACCACUUAGAGCUCAAAUUUUCAAAAGGAUCUCUGAUAUAUAAUUUUACUUGGGAUUACUAUGAACCAGAUAAAUUGAGAGAAAAUGUACACAGGUUUUUGUGAGUUCUCAAGAAUAGCUUUGCUAGACCAUAUAUUGUCUAUAGGGCUCAUACAGAGGUGCCCAAGGACCUGAAUGAAGACACCAAAGGAGUAGAGCCAAGCAGAUAAGUAGAUAGAUUAGUGUGGAAGCUGCACAUUCAAAAACAGUUGGUAUGCUUUUUCCUAAUCUAAGAUGAUUUCUGAACCAUAUCAGGAUAAAGAAGAUUAACAAAGCCACUAGCUAACCUGCUGAUAUACUCCUACUUGGGAGUGAAAUCCCUCAUCAAAUCAUAACGUUUAGAAAAGCUCCUAGAAUUUAUCCUGCGCCUGCAGCAUUUGGAUGCUGAUUAAACAAGAUAAUCAGUACCCAGUAACACAGGGCAGUAUUUUCAAAAAUUAAAUGAUUUUAAUUCACAAGAGAAGAACUUGUGAUGCAAGCUGCAGAAAUGAGCUUUAGUGAAGACCAUGGAAUGGAUACAUGGGCUCCAGCCACAUCUGGAAUACUCUAUCAUCAUCAAAAGCUGAAAUGAUUUUCUACUUUACUAAUUAGAAAUUUAUUAAGUAUCAAAAAGGUAACAUAUAUCUGAAAAGGUAUUUCUUUUCCUAUUUAUGUUUAAGAAGCUACAAUCAUGCACUGGUGUGUAAGAAGCAUUUAAGAAACAAGUAUUUUUUAUAAGCGUGUAUGUCAAGGAUUUUUGAGGACAUGCAGAUUCUGGCUGUAUGCUCUUCAGAUCUGCAAUGGAGAGACAACUGGGGUAGAAUGAUUUGUCUUCACUCCUGCCAUCUGUAUGACAUUUAAGAAAUCACUCAUUCCUCCAUAUGCACAUGUGCAGUGGUGCAAGGGCCUCUGGUCAUACCUUUAUUUGCUUCUGAACUUCAGCGUGUAUCUGCAAGAGGAAGCCAAAGGCACUGCUAUUUCAGGAAGGUUCACCUGCUGUAGGAAAUAUUCAUAUUUUUGAAUAGUUUCAAAUUUUUUCAUACAAUUUUUAAUUGUGUUGUAGUCUUUUUUUCUUCUUUUCUUUCUUUUUCCUUUCUUUUUACUUAUUUUCAUUCAGGGAUGGAAGAAGAAAAGGCUUUAUUAUGAAUAAACGCAGAUUUCCUUCUGUUGCUGCAUGUCACAAGUUUUGCAUUGUUAAGAUUUUGCGUAGGCUCCCAGGAACUGCAGUCUAUUAUCCAACCUAUUCCUGUGUAAGUAUACUUACAACCUCUGGAUGACGUGGGCACACAGAAUUGCUGCAUCUUUAAUGUCAGUGCCUGCAAGUAGUGUAAAACAACCUUGGUUAUGGUUUCCUUCUGAAGGGUUUAAAUAGUUUCCUUAGAAUUUCAUGCAUGUAGUCCUGAGAUGAUUUUGCCAGAUGACUGAUUUCACAUUCUAAUGUUCAGUGCAAUGAGUUCAGCCUACAAUUUGUACUGUACAAUGCUUCUGUAAGAUCAGGAGCAGAGGCUAUAUUCUACUUGCUACAGAUACAAGUAUCACUGUAGGUACAGUAAAUAUAUACAAGCAAGAGUUUGUCUAGAAAUGAGAUUUCUUCUAUUUUGAGAUAGAUAUUCCUGACUCUCCUUCUGCUCUCUUUUGCUCGUGGGAAUAUAUCUGCUGAAUUGACACAAACUGAACUGAGACUAACUGGAACUGGUGGGAAAACAACAGGACACUGCAUUACACUUUAAUUUCAUUUAAAAUAAUAAUAAUAAUAAUAAAAAGCAUACAAGGGCUAACUUCUCACUUCUUAGAGAUUUUAUGUGGAAAUUUUUUCUUCCAACUACAUUUUAAAGUCUUCCUGGGCAGCACACACUGGUUAAUGCCUUGACUUAGUCAAUGAAAAAAACAGGAUGCAAAGUAGCACGGUGUGAUAUGUCCAUGCACUUGAGAUUAGUAUGCAUGAAAUUGUUCUUAUAAGUUGCCACAUCGUGACUUUGAAUGCUGAUUUUAAGGAAGUGAGUUAAGUAGUUACUUUAAGGACCCGUAUCUCUGCAUUUGCAUGUAUGGUCUUACUUAAGAUUUCAUUCACCUAUGUGAAUAACAGACUACCUAGGCCACAUCCCACUGGGUGAUAUUUUACAACAUAUAAUUAUAACAUUACAUAUAUAGAGAUAAUUUAAUUAAAAAUGUUCAGGAAAAAAUGUAAAGCCUGUACAGAGACCAAUAUAUUUAUGCUUUUCCUGAAAGCUGUGAGCAGCCUUUUAGUGAAAUUAUUGGCACAUGCACAAUAACUGAGCAAUAUUUUUGUAUGAUAUAAAUUUCAGUGAAAGUAAUUAUUUCCACAUGCACACAUAUGUUUUAUGUUCUCUUGUACACACAGUUUAUGUCAGUAUAUUAUUUUCUCUUAAGCACUUAAUAGCUAUUCUUUAAUAACUACAAUUCACUCAAUAAGUUAUACAUGUGACAGAAAAAAAAUUCAGAGUGUUUAUUAUGAGGUGAAGUUCAAACAAUUACAUUUUUAACAUUUGGCACUCUUACAUCCAGAAAUAAUUCCAGUCUUUUGUCUUCCACCCAGUGUGUCAGUGUCUUACUUCUGUACUGUACAGUACUGUACUGUGGAGGUUUAGUGGCUAUUGCAAUAUGGAGACCAUUCCCAGUACUGCCUAAGGCAAACUGCCAGCUAAAUGCUACAUAACAAACCUACACAAAAUGUAAUAAACUCAGCUGUGGACAUAAUGAUGGACAGUCUAAUAAUUCUGCUCAAUAUAGCCUGAUAUUUUCACUCAAACAGUAUUUGGGAAUGUUUCACUUGACAUUAGAAUUAGCAAUCAAUUCCAGAUAUUUGCUGAAGAGACACUGAAUGACUUUCUCAUACCAAAUUUUUAUUAACCACUACUGAUUGGAAGUAUGUGCAAGUUUACCCGCCAUUCUUCUCUGAAAGAGGAAAAUACUUAGUAUUCUCCUCUAGUAAUUGGAUGAGCCCUAAUUUAUUACUUAAGGAAAAGAAAAAAAGUCAGCCUACGUUAUAAUGCAUAAGACUAUAUUCCUCUCAAUUAUGCUGAUUUGAAUCCACUGUAAUUCCGUUACUCAUUGAAGUUUUUGAGAUUAAUGUUGAAUUGAUGGAAAUUCAAAUGCUUCUCAUAAUUUCUAUUGUCAUCUUGAAGCAAAAGGAAAGGUCUCAUAGCAAUUUUCUUUCUUCUCAGAUAGUUUUUAAAGAACUAAGGAAAUAAUAGACAAAGAUAAAUAGUGUAUGUCUAUGGGGAUUUUUAAUAUGUUUAGGCAAAAAUUUUUGAUCCCUUCACAAGUAUGUGGAAAUUAUUGCAUUUCUACCACUUCUGAAACUGAGAAGGCUAAAAGUGUGCUGCACCUAUCCAUGCAUUCUGUAGCAGACCUGAGCAGAGCCCUGUGCAAGCAUGAUCAUCAGGCUGGUCAUAUUCCCAGUAGGCACAGAGCACGUUUUCAGUUUGCUCUAGUGAUUCACAGAAUCACAGAACUUUAGGGGCUGGAAAAGACCUCUGGAGAUCAUCUAGUCCAAACUCAAUGAUAAAGCAGGUUCCCUACAGCAGGUCGCACAUGUAGGCCUUGAAUAUCUCCAGAGGAAACUUCAUAACCUCUCUGGGCAGCAUGUUCCAGUGCUCCAUCACUCUGAGAGUAAAGAAGUUUCUCCUUCUACUAGUACAGAACAUCCUGUAUUCCAGUUUCUGCCUUUUACCCCUUAUUCUAUUGCUAUAUGCCACAGACAAGUCUGCCCUCAUUGACUUGACUCCCACACUUUAUAUAAUAAUAAACUGUUAUGAGAUCCUCUCUCAGCCUUCUCCAGGCUGAAUUUCCCAGGUUACUCACCCUUUCCUUGUAAGGAAGACGCUUCAGGCCCUUAAUCCUCUUUGUCAUCCUCUGCUCUACUCCUUCUAGGAGAUCCCUGUCUAUCUUGAACUGGGAAGCUCAGAACUGUACACAGUAGUCUAAAUGUGGCCUCACCAGGGCAGAAUAGAGGGAAGGAUCACCUGCUGGCCACACUCUUUUUAAUGCACCUGUGUACACCAUUGGUCUUCUUGGCUGCAAGGGCACACUGCUGGCUCAUGGCCAACCUGCUGUCCACCAUGACACCCAUGUACUUCUCUGCAGAGCUCCCCUUCAGCAGGUCAGCCCCUACCUUGUACUGAUGCAUGCAAUUAUUCCUCCCCAGGUGUAAGACUCUAAACUUUUUGGAACCACAUCAGGUUCCUCUCUGCCCAACUCUAUAUUCCCAUAUGUAAAAGGCAUAUGCUUGUCCUUUUUCCAGGUGUAAUCAUAUAAUAUCACCACUACCGCUUCCUAUGUGUACCUAAAGUUGAUCGGACACCAAAGGCUGUUGUUUCAAGGCCUUUUUCCAAAUAUGCAUAAAUUAAUCAGAUGUUUGUCACACUUUUGUUAACCAAUUACCCAGAACAUGACCAAUUGUUUUUUCUAAAUCAAUUAUAAGCAGUAAAAGUAAGUGAGAUUGUGGCUGGUUUUCAAUUAUGAUAAAUAAAUCCUUAAGUAUGCCAGGAAAUUUAGUCCUGAUAAACUGAAAUGUACCGUUACACAGAAAAAAUGCUGUAUUGUCUUUAUUGUGAAGAGGUAAAUGACAUUCUACUGCCUGAGGAGAAGAACAGGGAAAUAUUUCCUAAGAAUAUUUUAAAUUUAAUUAUAUUUUAAUAAUGUACUUUAUCAAAUGUGAAUCUUUUUGAAAUAACUUUGUGCAUAUCAAACAUUCGCAAACUUGUGAUGCAUACCAGAAAAUAUGUGCACAUUUUAGAGGUUUCAAGAACCUCUGCAAAGUAGUAAGUAUAACUGGAGCAAAAUAUAAUGUCAUGUUUGAAGCUACAUGUUUUAAGUCUUUCUCAGUUAUACACUGCUAGGAAAAAAGAGCUUUUUAAACUGUCUUUUACCGUAUAGUUAAAUUACAGUAUAGCAAAAUGAAUGCUCAGACUGACUGCUUUCUUCAUGGCAAUAAUGUAUUAAUUUAUCAGGCAGCCACAUGAAUUUUAACUUCUAUUGUUUUGUUCACAUCUUUCUGGGGUGAGCUCAUUAGGAGUUGAGGUUAGAAGUGCAAUCAUGUCAGAUUGCUAUGAAAAAUCUGGUCUCAACUUUCUGAAGUUGGGAAAACUUGAA
This is a long non-coding RNA of Lagopus muta (rock ptarmigan), 33933 nucleotides long. RefSeq lists it as uncharacterized. NCBI's taxonomy places the organism in Eukaryota, Metazoa, Chordata, Aves, Galliformes, Phasianidae. The record is from RefSeq and is a predicted model, not a curated record. The transcript is spliced from 16 exons.